GCCUUCGUGGUGUAGAGGUCAGGACGCUGGGCGCGUAUUCCAGAGGUCCGUGGUUCGAGUCCUGGCGAAGUCG
Non-coding RNA from Stegodyphus mimosarum, 73 nucleotides. The record is from Rfam. NCBI's taxonomy places the organism in Eukaryota, Metazoa, Arthropoda, Arachnida, Araneae, Eresidae.